Molecule: ribosomal RNA, 253 nt
Filed under: uncultured bacterium
Lineage: Bacteria
Description: partial 16S ribosomal RNA
Rfam family: Bacterial small subunit ribosomal RNA
Source: RNAcentral
GACGAAGGGGGCUAGCGUUGUUCGGAAUCACUGGGCUUAAAGGGCGCGUAGGCGGCUCGCAUGGUCGGGGGUGAAAUCCCGCAGCUCAACUGCGGAAGUGCCUUCGAUACCGGCGGGCUCGAGGAAGGUAGGGGUGCGCGGAACUUCUGGUGGAGCGGUGAAAUGCGUUGAUAUCAGAAGGAACGCCGGCGGCGAAAGCGGCGCACUGGACCUUUUCUGACGCUGAUGCGCGAAAGCCAGGGGAGCAAACGGG